Molecule: long non-coding RNA, 1116 nt
Filed under: Cottoperca gobio
Lineage: Eukaryota; Metazoa; Chordata; Actinopteri; Perciformes; Bovichtidae
Description: lncRNA (ENSCGOG00000003154.1)
Source: RNAcentral
AUGGAGGCAGUAGAGAGACUAGUAUCAGCCUUUAAGACUGGCCCAAGGUGCACAUCAACAACGGUGUGGCAUAAAUCAUGCUACUCCGAUUACACACAUAACGGAAAAAUUGAGAGAUUAAAGAAACGUGACAAAUCCCCAUCAACAAGUUCUUCUCCUCAGACAGUUGAUGCCUCACAAUGUAGAUCUUUAGGAUUACGCAGCCAUUCACAACCUAUGGAUUGGAAACUGUGCAUGUUCUGUCAGGACACCAAGAUUAAGCAAAAUACUUCUGCUAUUAGCAGGAAGAACAUGAGCAAUCAAAUUAUUUCAGCAGCAAAAUAUGUGGAACAGGUCAGUGUUCGUGUAGCAGGUGUCAAUGAUCUUAUGGCAGCAGAUGGGUGCUACCACCCAAAUUGCUUAAAGAAGUUUCUGCGAGACACAUCCAAGGCUGAAGUUGAAAACAGACAUGUGGAUCUUGCCAUGAUCUGGCUUGGACAGGAGUUGAGGGUUUCUGCAGAUAAGGGUCAUGUUUUGGAACUAGAACAAGUUUGGUUACGUUACAAAGAACAUGCAAAUGACAUCGAAAUCCCCAAAUCCUUUCUGAGUCGUCGAGCAACAUUUAAAGACAAACUAUCUACCUUGCUCAAUGAUGUCUAUGAAUUUAUUGUACUGCGUGACCAGGCUGCACCUGAUAGACAAACAAUACUCAUCCCUGUCAAAUUCAGCCAUAUCCCAUUCUCUCAAUGGGCAUUACACGAUCAGGAGUUUGAUGAAGGAUCCACUACUAUCCCUGUCUUCAAGUCACAAGCAGAAGAUGAAUUUCUGUCUAUGAUCCAUGUAGCACUGAAACUCAGAUCAGAUAUAUUGUCCCAACCUUCAUACUCCGGUGUGGAUGUCAGCGAAGAAGCUGCAAUAGAUUGUGUUCCACCCAGUGUUUAUAUGUUCAUCCACCUAUUGUUAGGAGGCCAAUCACUUCUAGAGGCAGAGAACAGAAAUAUGAUGAGGAAGAAUCCCACAAAAGAUCCAGGGUGCUUAGUGUUGCACAGGAUCUUGUCUAUAGUGUUAGUGGGGGAAAGGAAAUGCGCAAACAUUGUGGCUUUAUCACCUUCCAUUCAGAAGUUAUGGCCGUUUUAA